UACGGAGGGGGUUAGCGUUGUUCGGAAUUACUGGGCGUAAAGCGCACGUAGGCGGAUCAGAAAGUUGGGGGUGAAAUCCCAGGGCUCAACCCUGGAACGGCCUCCAAAACUCCUGGUCUUGAGUUCGAGAGAGGUGAGUGGAAUUCCGAGUGUAGAGGUGAAAUUCGUAGAUAUUCGGAGGAACACCAGUGGCGAAGGCGGCUCACUGGCUCGAUACUGACGCUGAGGUGCGAAAGUGUGGGGAGCAAAC
This 250-nucleotide ribosomal RNA is filed under the name uncultured bacterium. RNAcentral's name for it is "partial 16S ribosomal RNA". It matches the Rfam family "Bacterial small subunit ribosomal RNA", at positions 524 to 773 of the family's 1533-position model. The record is from RNAcentral. RNAcentral also lists the same sequence under 1 other name.